UACGGGGGGAGCAAACGUUGUUCGGAAUUACUGGGCGUAAAGAGCUCGUAGGCGGGACCGUAAGUCCGAGAGGAAAUCUCAAGGCUCAACUUUGGGGCUUUCUUGGAUACUGCGGUUCUUGAGGAUAUCAGAGGAAAGUAGAAUUCCCGGUGUAGCGGUGAAAUGCGUAGAUAUCGGGAGGAAUACCAGUGGCGAAGGCGACUUUCUGGGAUAU
RNAcentral lists this ribosomal RNA (214 nucleotides) under uncultured prokaryote. Its description in RNAcentral is "partial 16S ribosomal RNA". It matches the Rfam family "Bacterial small subunit ribosomal RNA", at positions 524 to 737 of the family's 1533-position model. The record is from RNAcentral.